Long non-coding RNA from Esox lucius (northern pike), 2093 nucleotides. The record is from Ensembl. Lineage: Eukaryota; Metazoa; Chordata; Actinopteri; Esociformes; Esocidae.
AAUAUGUUGCUGGCAUAUUCAAAAUGGGCAUAUCUUUUUUCAAAAACAAGAACUUUUCUUUCUUUCUUUGUACUAUUUUCAAUGAAAUAUAAGGAUGCAAUGAAUUCCACAUUUAGGCAUUCUAUUUCUAUUUGCAUUUUUUGCAGCGUCACAACUUUUUUGCAAACGGGUUUGUAAUUUUAUUUGAAAGAUUAUAAUUUACAGGUAAAUUACAGUAUUUAAACUAAUGUUUAAUACAUGCACAGCAUAGCAAUGUUGAAUAUAAUUACAUAUAAAGCUUUCAUUUGAUUAUAAUUUUUCAGUAAAAUAAACAUAUAUUCCUGACAGUCAAAUUGCUAAAUAAUGACAUUAUUGCCAUCUUUUAGGACCAGAAGACACUGUGAAGACACCUGUCAUUCAGAUGACACCUGACAGUAAAGUUGAUCUUGAGGGUAAUAUAGUAAAUGGAAAACAUAUUCUUAUCCUUACAAGAUUAUCAGAUAGAUGUAUUGUUAUUAACCUAAUGUGUGUGAUACAUAUAUCAAAUAAUAACAAUAAGGCAUUUUGAAAUCUUUACUUUGAAAAUCAAACGUAAUUAAAAUGUAAUAUGUAUUACAGAAAAUUGCAGUAUAUCUAUACUUAACUGAUGUUUUAGGUCCAGGGCAGAUAUCUACUGAACAGACUGGUGAGGAAGUUCAUCAAGAAGGCUAAGUGAAACCGGAAACACAAACUGUAUUUAAUGAUGAAUCAUAUUAUCAAUAUAGUAUGAAAAUAAAACAAAGAAAAAACAAUAGAUUGACAUUAUAUAACACAAUUAAUUUAAUUUUGUAAUGAUUCUUUUACAGUUAAUUUCAGUUGAAUUACAGGAAGAACAGAAAAUGGAAGUUAUACAUUGCAUUUUGAUCUCUCAGUGAAAUGCUAACACAUGAAAAAUACAACAAACCUAUUUUCGAGAAAGCAAUCAAAUUUAUUUCAUGAAGCCUUUUAACAUCCGCACAUGGUAUUGUAUAGCCCUAUACCUAAAUUUCACAUUUUAAAAUAAUUGAUUUUCCUUUUUGUAUUCAACAGAGACAAAAAGCCUAAGAGAAGAAAACACAGUGAAGAUAUAUACUGAACAGACAGCAUCUGGUAGAGAAAUUGAUCUGGAAGGCCCGGAAAACAAAAUGCAGACACCAGACAAUCAGUUGACAGCUGAUAAAAAAGUUGAUCUGGAAGGUAAAGUGAUUGUUGGAAAACAUUUACUUAUGCUUAGAAAAUUAUUAUUUAUGGGUAAUCAAAUUUAAUAUACCUAAAAAGGAUGGUAAUUUUCAAUAAUAACAAUAAUAAUUACUUCAAAACAACAAAGGUGCACGAAUGGCAUGAAUAUGGCACAAACAAAGACCCACUCAGGGGUGUGGAUGGGAUGCCCAAUUAGAGGCAAUGCAAGGCAGCAGCCUCAAAUUGGGGACAACCAAAAACCAAAGUGCGGAAAUCCCUAGAGUCAUCCCUUCUGCCAGGCCCAGACUAUCACCCCGACCCGCAUAGAGAUGGCUAGGGGCAUCCCUAUAGUCACGACCUGACAUAAUGUUAAUCCAUGGCACCCACAUAAUAUGUUUAAUACAUUAGGAAUUGGCUAAAAUGUAACAUAUCUUAUAACAUAUAAUAUGAUACGAACACCAGACAAACGUAUCAUAUUUUACGAACGGUAUGAAAACAUAUCAUUCAUUACACAUUUGCAUUUUUAACUCCUGAAUUUAAUAAUCAUACUACAGUAAAAUAUAAAUAUUCUUGACAAUCAAUUGCAAUAUAAUGACCUAAAUGUGAUCUUUUUGGCCCAGACAAUAAAGUGCAGACACUGGUCAAUAAGACAAAAGCUUAUAAUAUAGAAGAUGUGAAAGAUAAAGUGAUGGAUGGAAAACAUUUACUUAUACUAUGCAAAUUAUCAUGUACAUAUAAUGUAUUUAACCAAAUAUGUGGUAUACACAAACAAGACAGGAAUGUACAUAAUAAUAAUAACAUAAUGUAUGUAAUAAUAAUAUGAAUUCCUUUUUUUUGAAAAUUAUACUUAAUUAAAAUCAAAUAUUCAUGAAAAUAAUUUGCUAUUCAUUCAUUUAUAUCUGAUUUUGUAUGUGUAG